RNAcentral lists this ribosomal RNA (195 nucleotides) under uncultured bacterium. Its description in RNAcentral is "partial 16S ribosomal RNA". It matches the Rfam family "Bacterial small subunit ribosomal RNA", at positions 338 to 524 of the family's 1533-position model. The record is from RNAcentral.
UUUACGGGAGGCAGCAGUGGGGAAUAUUGGACAAUGGGCGAAAGCCUGAUCCAGCCAUGCCGCGUGUGUGAAGAAGGUCUUCGGAUUGUAAAGCACUUUAAGUUGGGAGGAAGGGCAGUUACCUAAUACGUGAUUGUUUUGACGUUACCGACAGAAUAAGCACCGGCUAACUUCUGUGCCAGCAGCCGCGGUAAU